RNAcentral lists this ribosomal RNA (484 nucleotides) under uncultured bacterium. RNAcentral describes it as "partial 16S ribosomal RNA". It matches the Rfam family "Bacterial small subunit ribosomal RNA", at positions 30 to 507 of the family's 1533-position model. The record is from RNAcentral.
AUUGAACGCUGGCGGCAGGCCUAACACAUGCAAGUCGAGCGGAUGAAGGGAGCUUGCUCCUGGAUUCAGCGGCGGACGGGUGAGUAAUGCCUAGGAAUCUGCCUGGUAGUGGGGGAUAACGUCCGGAAACGGGCGCUAAUACCGCAUACGUCCUGAGGGAGAAAGUGGGGGAUCUUCGGACCUCACGCUAUCAGAUGAGCCUAGGUCGGAUUAGCUAGUUGGUGGGGUAAAGGCCUACCAAGGCGACGAUCCGUAACUGGUCUGAGAGGAUGAUCAGUCACACUGGAACUGAGACACGGUCCAGACUCCUACGGGAGGCGGCAGUGGGGAAUAUUGGACAAUGGGCGGAAGCCUGAUCCAGCCAUGCCGCGUGUGUGAAGAAGGUCUUCGGAUUGUAAAGCACUUUAAGUUGGGAGGAAGGGCAGUAAGUUAAUACCUUGCUGUUUUGACGUUACCAACAGAAUAAGCACCGGCUAACUUCGUG